GCGUGUGUGAAGAAGGCCUGCGGGUUGUAAAGCACUUUCAGUGGGGAAGAAAAGCGUGGUGCUAAUAUCAUCGCGUCUUGACGUAACUCACAGAAGAAGCACCGGCUAACUCUGUGCCAGCAGCCGCGGUAAUACAGAGGGUGCGAGCGUUAAUCGGAAUUACUGGGCGUAAAGCGUGUGUAGGUGGUUACUUAAGUCGGAUGUGAAAGCCCCGGGCUUAACCUGGGAAUUGCAUUCGAUACUGAGUGACUAGAGUACGGUAGAGGGUAGCGGAAUUCCCGGUGUAGCGGUGAAAUGCGU
Molecule: ribosomal RNA, 300 nt
Filed under: uncultured bacterium
Lineage: Bacteria
Description: bacterial SSU rRNA
Rfam family: Bacterial small subunit ribosomal RNA
Source: RNAcentral